This 1225-nucleotide ribosomal RNA is filed under the name Salmonella enterica subsp. enterica serovar Enteritidis. RNAcentral describes it as "partial 23S ribosomal RNA". It matches the Rfam family "Bacterial large subunit ribosomal RNA", at positions 1214 to 2421 of the family's 2925-position model. The record is from RNAcentral. Lineage: Bacteria; Pseudomonadati; Pseudomonadota; Gammaproteobacteria; Enterobacterales; Enterobacteriaceae.
CUGUGUGUUGUUGGGUAGGGGAGCGUUCUGUAAGCCUGUGAAGGUGUGUCGUGAGGCAUGCUGGAGGUAUCAGAAGUGCGAAUGCUGACAUAAGUAACGAUAAAGCGGGUGAAAAGCCCGCUCGCCGGAAGACCAAGGGUUCCUGUCCAACGUUAAUCGGGGCAGGGUGAGUCGACCCCUAAGGCGAGGCCGAAAGGCGUAGUCGAUGGGAAACGGGUUAAUAUUCCCGUACUUGGUGUUACUGCGAAGGGGGGACGGAGAAGGCUAUGUUGGCCGGGCGACGGUUGUCCCGGUUUAAGCGUGUAGGUGUGUGUUCCAGGUAAAUCCGGUUCACUUUAACACUGAGGCGUGACGACGAGGCACUACGGUGCUGAAGCAACAAAUGCCCUGCUUCCAGGAAAAGCCUCUAAGCAUCAGGUAACAUCAAAUCGUACCCCAAACCGACACAGGUGGUCAGGUAGAGAAUACCAAGGCGCUCGAGAGAACUCGGGUGAAGGAACUAGGCAAAAUGGUGCCGUAACUUCGGGAGAAGGCACGCUGACACGUAGGUGAAGUGAUUUACUCAUGGAGCUGAAGUCAGUCGAAGAUACCAGCUGGCUGCAACUGUUUAUUAAAAACACAGCACUGUGCAAACACGAAAGUGGACGUAUACGGUGUGACGCCUGCCCGGUGCCGGAAGGUUAAUUGAUGGGGUCAGCGCAAGCGAAGCUCCUGAUCGAAGCCCCGGUAAACGGCGGCCGUAACUAUAACGGUCCUAAGGUAGCGAAAUUCCUUGUCGGGUAAGUUCCGACCUGCACGAAUGGCGUAAUGAUGGCCAGGCUGUCUCCACCCGAGACUCAGUGAAAUUGAACUCGCUGUGAAGAUGCAGUGUACCCGCGGCAAGACGGAAAGACCCCGUGAACCUUUACUAUAGCUUGACACUGAACAUUGAGCCUUGAUGUGUAGGAUAGGUGGGAGGCUUUGAAGUGUGGACGCCAGUCUGCAUGGAGCCGACCUUGAAAUACCACCCUUUAAUGUUUGAUGUUCUAACGUGGACCCGUUACCCGGGUUGCGGACAGUGUCUGGUGGGUAGUUUGACUGGGGCGGUCUCCUCCUAAAGAGUAACGGAGGAGCACGAAGGUUGGCUAAUCCUGGUCGGACAUCAGGAGGUUAGUGCAAUGGCAUAAGCCAGCUUGACUGCGAGCGUGACGGCGCGAGCAGGUGCGAAAGCAGGUCAUAGUGAUCC